GUAAUGUGACAACAAUACAACC
This 22-nucleotide microRNA is filed under the name Ciona intestinalis (vase tunicate). Its description in RNAcentral is "Cin-Mir-33_3p (mature (guide))". The record is from RNAcentral. Lineage: Eukaryota; Metazoa; Chordata; Ascidiacea; Phlebobranchia; Cionidae.